GGUAGUAAAAGUCGUAACAAGGUUUCCGUAGGUGAACCUGCGGAAGGAUCAUUAUUGGAUUUUGAAACUUCAGGCUGCUGCUGGCUCUCCUCGGAGGGCAUGUGCACGCUUGUUGUCCAUUAUUUCUCCCACUGUGCACAAAUUGUAGACCUUUCAGUAGGCCUAUGUUGUUUUUCACAAUCUCUGAAUGUAAUAGAAUGGUUUUGAAUCUUGGGAAAUACAAUACAACUUUCAGCAACGGAUCUCUUGGCUCUC
RNAcentral lists this unclassified non-coding RNA (255 nucleotides) under plant metagenome. Its description in RNAcentral is "partial contains small subunit ribosomal RNA, internal transcribed spacer 1, and 5.8S ribosomal RNA". The stretch from base 1 to 54 matches the Rfam family "Eukaryotic small subunit ribosomal RNA", at positions 1778 to 1831 of the family's 1831-position model. The record is from RNAcentral.